RNAcentral lists this non-coding RNA (223 nucleotides) under Schistosoma curassoni. RNAcentral describes it as "Eukaryotic small subunit ribosomal RNA". It matches the Rfam family "Eukaryotic small subunit ribosomal RNA", at positions 1286 to 1466 of the family's 1831-position model. The record is from Rfam by way of RNAcentral. Lineage: Eukaryota; Metazoa; Platyhelminthes; Trematoda; Strigeidida; Schistosomatidae.
GGUUGUUCUUAGUUGGCUGAAGCGAUUUGUCUGGUUAAUUCCGAUGAGAAAUAGACUUGUUAAAUAAUAGACUGAUCCUCCGUACUCAUUUACGGCGCGGAUUCUAUAACUUCUUUAUGGUGUAGUGUGAUCGUGAUCCGGCGGGUAAGAUGCCAGUUUUUACUUGUUAGAGGGACAAGCAGCACACCCAAGUUGCACGAAAUUGAGCAAUAACAUGUCUGUG